Molecule: long non-coding RNA, 670 nt
Filed under: Brachypodium distachyon (stiff brome)
Lineage: Eukaryota; Viridiplantae; Streptophyta; Magnoliopsida; Poales; Poaceae
Description: long non-coding RNA (BDIS_LNC005698)
Source: RNAcentral
UCCAGUACCUCUGAAUGUUCAUCUCCAGCCCCCACCAUUUUCUCUCUGCAAGCUGUUAGUAAGCAUGUAUGCAUGCAUCGAGCUGAUGAUGGGGAAAGUUGCCAGCAUUGCUGCAUGCAUGUACACACACAUGCAUGUGUAGUGCUGCUUCUUUCUAGUUUAGAUCUGUAGUGUGAGUGCAUGUUUCAGUGUGUAUUUCUUUUUCUGCUCUUUUUUUUAUCCUUUUGAAUGUUUCUUCUAUGGAAAAAUCUGAUUUGAUUUUUCCAUACUUGACAGUAAAACUAAUUUUAAAUUAAUGUGUGUGCAUGCAACUAUCUAAUUGGUCUUCAGAAAAAUGGUUAACAUGUAAAGAUCCCUACAUUUUGGGCACACAUGUUGUACUCAGGUUCUCUAUCUCUCUCUUUACAAAUAUAUAUAUAUAUGCCUGUUGCUAUUUUCGAAAUAAAUCAGGAAUUUUGAAAGAAACUCAAGUUAACUUGCUUAAACUUGUGAAUUUUCUGAGUUAGUGCACAACCUGUUUGUAUCCUGGCACCAAGUAAUAUAAAAUCAAUAUGCAAAUGUUCAGAGUUAGUGCAAAACCUGUUGUUAGCAUUUUCAUGCACUGCAUUAUUACUAGAAAGUUAGUUUUAACAAAGGGUACCAGAUCAACCCCUAUUUGAUUUAAUGUUCU